Molecule: ribosomal RNA, 472 nt
Filed under: uncultured Paracoccaceae bacterium
Lineage: Bacteria; Pseudomonadati; Pseudomonadota; Alphaproteobacteria; Rhodobacterales; Paracoccaceae
Description: bacterial SSU rRNA
Rfam family: Bacterial small subunit ribosomal RNA
Source: RNAcentral
UAGGGUUUGAUUAUGGCUCAGAACGAACGCUGGCGGCAGGCCUAACACAUGCAAGUCGAGCGCGCCUUCGGGCGAGCGGCGGACGGGUUAGUAACGCGUGGGAACGUGCCCAGAUCUACGGAAUAGCCACUGGAAACGGUGAGUAAUACCGUAUACGCCCCUAGGGGGAAAGAUUUAUCGGAUUUGGAUCGGCCCGCGUUAGAUUAGGUAGUUGGUGGGGUAACGGCCUACCAAGCCUACGAUCUAUAGCUGGUUUUAGAGGAUGAUCAGCAACACUGGGACUGAGACACGGCCCAGACUCCUACGGGAGGCAGCAGUGGGGAAUCUUGGACAAUGGGGGAAACCCUGAUCCAGCCAUGCCGCGUGAGUGAAGAAGGCCCUAGGGUCGUAAAACUCUUUCGCCUGUGAUGAUAAUGACAGUAGCAGGUAAAGAAACCCCGGCUAACUCCGUGCCAGCCGCCGCGGUAAUACA